RNAcentral lists this ribosomal RNA (253 nucleotides) under uncultured bacterium. RNAcentral's name for it is "partial 16S ribosomal RNA". It matches the Rfam family "Bacterial small subunit ribosomal RNA", at positions 524 to 776 of the family's 1533-position model. The record is from RNAcentral.
UACGGAGGAUCCGAGCGUUAUCCGGAUUUAUUGGGUUUAAAGGGAGCGUAGGCGGGUUGUUAAGUCAGUUGUGAAAGUUUGCGGCUCAACCGUAAAAUUGCAGCUGAUACUGGCAUCCUUGAGUACAGUAGAGGUAGGCGGAAUUCGUGGUGUAGCGGUGAAAUGCUUAGAUAUCACGAAGAACUCCGAUUGCGAAGGCAGCCUGCUGGACUGUAACUGACGCUGAUGCUCGAAAGUGUGGGUAUCAAACAGG